UACGGGGGGAGCAAGCGUUGUUCGGAUUUACUGGGCGUAAAGGCGCGUAGGCGGCGUGACAAGUCACUUGUGAAAUCUCCGGGCUUAACUCGGAACGGUCAAGUGAUACUGUCGGACUAGAGUACAGAAGGGGCAACUGGAAUUCUCGGUGUAGCGGUGAAAUGCGUAGAUAUCGAGAGGAACACCUGCGGCGAAGGCGGGUUGCUGGGCUGACACUGACGCUGAGGCGCGAAAGCGUGGGGAGCGAACAGG
This 252-nucleotide ribosomal RNA is filed under the name uncultured bacterium. RNAcentral's name for it is "partial 16S ribosomal RNA". It matches the Rfam family "Bacterial small subunit ribosomal RNA", at positions 524 to 776 of the family's 1533-position model. The record is from RNAcentral.